ACGGGUGAGUAACACGUGGGAACGUACCUUUUGGUUCGGAAUAACGCAGGGAAACUUGUGCUAAUACCGAAUGUGCCCUUCGGGGGAAAGAUUUAUCGCCAUUAGAGCGGCCCGCGUUAGAUUAGCUAGUUGGUGAGGUAAAGGCUCACCAAGGCUACGAUCUAUAGCUGGUCUGAGAGGAUGAUCAGCCACACUGGGACUGAGACACGGCCCAGACUCCUACGGGAGGCAGCAGUGGGGAAUCUUGCGCAAUGGGCGAAAGCCUGACGCAGCCAUGCCGCGUGAAUGAUGAAGGUCUUAGGAUUGUAAAAUUCUUUCAGUAGGGACGAUAAUGACGGUACCUACAGAAGAAGCCCCGGCUAACUUCGUGCCAGCAGCCGCGGUAAUACGAAGGGGGCUAGCGUUGCUCGGAAUUACUGGGCGUAAAGGGAGCGUAGGCGGGUUAUCAAGUUGGGGGUGAAAGCCCGGGGCUCAACCUCGGAAUUGCCUUCAAAACUGGUAGCCUAUAGUAUGAUAGAGGUAUGUGGAACUCCCAGUGUAGAGGUGAAAUUCGUAGA
RNAcentral lists this ribosomal RNA (557 nucleotides) under Caulobacteraceae bacterium StRD623. RNAcentral's name for it is "bacterial SSU rRNA". It matches the Rfam family "Bacterial small subunit ribosomal RNA", at positions 102 to 694 of the family's 1533-position model. Lineage: Bacteria; Pseudomonadati; Pseudomonadota; Alphaproteobacteria; Caulobacterales; Caulobacteraceae. The record is from RNAcentral.